This 348-nucleotide unclassified non-coding RNA is filed under the name soil metagenome. RNAcentral's name for it is "partial contains 5.8S ribosomal RNA, internal transcribed spacer 2, and large subunit ribosomal RNA". The stretch from base 1 to 120 matches the Rfam family "5.8S ribosomal RNA", at positions 35 to 154 of the family's 154-position model. The record is from RNAcentral.
GAUGAAGAACGUAGCGAAAUGCGAUAAGUAAUGUGAAUUGCAGAAUUCAGUGAAUCAUCGAAUCUUUGAACGCACAUUGCGCCCGCCAGUAUUCUGGCGGGCAUGCCUGUCUGAGCGUCAUUUCAACCCUCAUGCCCCUAGGGCGUGGUGUUGGGGAUCGGCCAAAGCCCGCGAGGGACGGCCGGCCCCUAAAUCUAGUGGCGGACCCGUCGUGGCCUCCUCUGCGAAGUAGUGAUAUUCCGCAUCGGAGAGCGAUGAGCCCCUGCCGUUAAACCCCCAACUUUCCAAGGUUGACCUCAGAUCAGGUAGGAAAACCCGCUGAACUUAAGCAUAUCAAUAAGCGGAGGA